GUGUCAGCAGCCGCGGUAAUACGUAGGGGGCGAGCGUUAUCCGGAGUUACUGGGCGUAAAGCGCACGCAGGCGGUCAGAUUAGUCUGUCGUGACAGUCGUCGGCUUAACUGACGAAGUACGAUGGAAACUGUCUGACUUGAGGGCUUCAGAGGGACACGGAAUUCCGGGUGGAGUGGUGAAAUGCGUAGAUAUCCGGAGGAACACCGAUGGCGAAGGCAGUGUCCUGGGAAGUACCUGACGCUCAGGUGCGAAAGCUAGGGGAGCGAACAGGAUUAGAUACCCCUGUAGUCC
This 292-nucleotide ribosomal RNA is filed under the name uncultured bacterium. RNAcentral describes it as "partial 16S ribosomal RNA". It matches the Rfam family "Bacterial small subunit ribosomal RNA", at positions 505 to 796 of the family's 1533-position model. The record is from RNAcentral.